This is a non-coding RNA of Salvelinus sp. IW2-2015, 1945 nucleotides long. The record is from RefSeq and is a predicted model, not a curated record. NCBI's taxonomy places the organism in Eukaryota, Metazoa, Chordata, Actinopteri, Salmoniformes, Salmonidae.
AUACAUAACUACACAUCUUGUCACUCAGGCACAGGGUGUGAAAAACCUCCACAUUUCUCAUGAAAACUCUUAUCAACAAGUAGCAAGUAACCUAUUAACCAGCUAACCUUAGGUCUCUCCGUCGAUCCGAAGCAAGGAUGGUUCUGUACUAUGUACCGGAUUGUAACCGCUAACGUUACUCCGAUAAGCACACGUGCAUUUUUCUGUUUUCCGAUCUCUGUAAGCGAGAGGCGUCGCUGGAGCCGUGUGAUAAGAUGGGCAUACUGGAAACCCAGUGACAGCACUCAGGUCUGAAGCUUCCAUUUUCUGUUGGGAAAGAGAAAUGGCCCUGUAUUUAACAGAAAAUAGGUAGCUCAUCUAACAUGGCAGAAGAGGAAGAUCCAGACUGUUGAGAGACCACUUGUCACAUUGUCCAAGUCCAACGGGAGUGAAUCCCUCAGGCCAUCCAGUGCAUAGACAUCAUGUGCCAGUGUGAUCUGAGCGCGAGCGRCCAGUUGCGGAGACUACAGCCCAUCGAGCCUGUUGAUGGACAGAUGUUACAUGCCGAACAUCAGGUUCACCCCACCAGAAGCAGUGUAUGAUCAAUGCCACCCUUAGCAAGGUGAUCUGCUGGAAGUUACGUACUCUCUCUCACUCUGGGGGUACAAGCAGGAUGACUGGGGCCUUCAGCAAGUACUGACAGGAAGAGCAAUAUGAGUCUGUCAGWGGUCAUCACGUUGGAUGGUGAUGGAGGCUUUGGUGGUCCACCAAACAAAGAAGCAGGUGUCCCUUCCAGUGAUGUGGAGCUGACCUAGUGCACAUCCAUCUCUUUAGCCCAGCGUUUCUCAAACUCUGUCCCGGGGACCCCGUGGGGUACAUGUUUAGUUUUUUGCCCUAGCACUACACAGCUGAUUUAAACUCAUCAAAGCUUGGUGAUUAGUUGAUUAUUUGAAUCAGCUGUGUAGUGCUCGGGCAAAAACCAAAACAUGCACCACUUGGGGUCCCCAGGACUGAACUUGGGAAAGCCUGCUGUAGCCAUUUUGAAUGCCUUGAUGCCCUCCUCUUCGUUAUCUGUGCCCCACUUUACAGACGACACCCCAUCCAACGACUGAUCUGAGGACCCUUUUAGCAGCGACUGAGUCACGCGCUUGGCCUUAACCACUGCUCUGUAAUUGCUGGCCGUCAACCUCCCUCUUCUCAUGGUGUGCCAGUUGGGGUUGGUGUGGUGUCCAACUGUUGCCUGCCGGCCAGGAUGCCUGCAUGCCCKAGGUGCCCUUGUUUUUAUAACAAUGUCCGGUUCAGACAGGGAUGACAGGGAGYGUAGCGGUUGUUCUGGCUCAGGUUCAAGGAGACUUGCCAUUCCACUGUACCUGCCCCAGAGACGGUUCCUUAGCCACUGAAGAUCCUCCUCUGUGGGCUCUCGGGACAGAGGGUUGUAGUCUUCAGCCGGGUACAGGUCCUCCGCUAACUGCACCUGGUUGGGCUUCCUCCACUCGAAUUCCACAUCUGUACGGCAGAUAUUGUGAACUGCCAAAAUAGGCUGCAUGGCUCCACUGAUGAGCUCCACGGAGGCAUUUGCAUGUGUUAGAGAGAAUCCCCUGGUCACCUAUAGAGACCUGCCAACCGGAAGUUGUCACCUAUAGAGACCUGCCAACAGGAAGGAGGUUAAGUGACACAUGCCUUUCAGUUCAUGAAACUUUGAACACCUUGAAAUGCAUUUGUUGUAAGAAAUGUGCUGUAUACUGUAAAUAAAGUUUGAUUUGAUUGAUGACAUUACAGCUUUAGAAUAUUUAAUAAUAUACAUUUUCACAUGAAGACAAGUGCAGUUUURCCAUAAACUUUUAAUUGAUAACGUGGGAUUUUAUCACUUGCCAUAUCAAUCAUACAGUGGGAAGGAUCCUAUAAAUCAAGACUGUGUGAAUGCAUGUACCAAUCCAAAUAAUAAAAAGUACUGUGCCUUUGAAAA